This 420-nucleotide ribosomal RNA is filed under the name uncultured bacterium. RNAcentral's name for it is "bacterial SSU rRNA". It matches the Rfam family "Bacterial small subunit ribosomal RNA", at positions 356 to 773 of the family's 1533-position model. The record is from RNAcentral.
GAGGAAUAUUGGACAAUGGGUGAGAGCCUGAUCCAGCCAUCCCGCGUGAAGGAUGACGGUCCUAUGGAUUGUAAACUUCUUUUGUACAGGGAUAAACCUACUCUCGUGAGGGUAGCUGAAGGUACCGUACGAAUAAGCACCGGCUAACUCCGUGCCAGCAGCCGCGGUAAUACGGAGGGUGCAAGCGUUAUCCGGAUUUAUUGGGUUUAAAGGGUCCGUAGGCGGACCUGUAAGUCAGUGGUGAAAUCUCAUAGCUUAACUAUGAAACUGCCAUUGAUACUGCAGGUCUUGAGUAAAUUUGAAGUGGCUGGAAUAAGUAGUGUAGCGGUGAAAUGCAUAGAUUUUACUUAGAACACCAAUUGCGAAGGCAGGUCACUAAGAUUUAACUGACGCUGAUGGACGAAAGCGUGGGUAGCGAAC